Molecule: unclassified non-coding RNA, 236 nt
Filed under: Glomeraceae sp.
Lineage: Eukaryota; Fungi; Glomeromycota; Glomeromycetes; Glomerales; Glomeraceae
Description: partial contains 5.8S ribosomal RNA and internal transcribed spacer 2
Rfam family: 5.8S ribosomal RNA (bases 1-72)
Source: RNAcentral
GUGAAUCAUCAAAUUUUUGAACGCAAAUUGCACUCUCCGGUUUUCCGGGGGAGUAUGCCUGUUUGAGGGCCAUAAUAAAAAAAUCGACAUUGUUGCUGUUUUAUGGUGACUUUCGUGGGAGAUGGGUUAUCUUAAAUCUCGGUUUAAGCGACUUAAAAAUUUUUUUUACGAUUCUAAGCAUGUUUCUAAGAUUUUUCUUUUAUGUUUAAGGUAUUGAAUGCCUUAUUAGACGUGGU